GAGUUUUGAAAGUGGGCUUUUCGAUGCUGGCCUCUUCGGAGGCACCGUGCUCGGGCCCCGCUCAUCCACUCAACCCCUGUGCACUCUUGAGGUGUGGCCCUCCGUCAUGGGAGCCGCUCGGAGCGAUCCGAGCUGGGACCGCGCCUCGCCAACCUAUCACAAACCCACUCGUCGUCUAGUAGAAUGUGUAGCGCCUUCUGGCGUAAUAAAAGUUAAAUACAACUUUCAACAACGGAUCUCUUGGCUCU
Molecule: unclassified non-coding RNA, 248 nt
Filed under: rhizosphere metagenome
Description: partial ribosomal RNA internal transcribed spacer region
Source: RNAcentral